UGGGGGUUUUUUUUCCAGCUCUAGGAACUACUAGGUUCAUUGCUGAAAGAUUUGGGGUGAAAUUGUGGCCAAUGGGAAUUUUGCCAUCAACUUCAAAAGAUUCAAAUUUCAUCCUAGAUCUAUCUUAUUUGUUUAGCAAGAACAUGCUUAUUUUUCUAUUCUUUUUCUUUGUGCACAAACUGUCAGCAUUGCGUGAAACAAACCAUCUUGAUUUCCAGCGUGUUUUUCAAAAGCCGGGUGAUUGCCAAAAUUGCAAAUCCAAUUUGUUCACAGACUGACCAGUGUGUGAUCAUUCCAAUUAUAUUUGGCACAUGUCAAGUGGAAGAAUCAAACCUCCCUCUUUUUGGAUCACUUAUAACCACUUCAAAAAAUAAACUCCCAAUAUAAUUAGCUGCUGAAAUGCUUGGCGAGUUGCCCUUAAAAAAAUCCCCAUCAGGAAACACACCCCCUUGAUUCUUCCCGGGCACGUUCUUCAAUAACAGACCCAGAUCUUGUCCCCUGCACUAGCACUGAUUAGUGUAAUCCUCCUGGCUGCCUGUGGGUACCCCCAAAAACUGGUUUUCCCACAGCUGAGGUCCAGGAACUGUGUUACAUGAGAGCUGGACGAUGUGGCAAGACUCCCCCUUCAGAAGCUCCCAUUAAGCACAAGCUGCUGCUAAGCCCAUGUGCAAGCUGGAAGUGUGCAGCAGAGCUCACUGGAGCCCUUACCCCAAAAAACUCUUCUAAUUAUACAUGUUGAGGGUUUUUCACAAUGCAUCAGUGAAAAUGCAUUAUCCUGUCAAGCUGUCUGAAACCCUGUAUGGGAGCUACCUUUUCCAGAAUAAAUCUGCUUUAAAUCUUAAAAACAGUUUGAAUAAUCCUGCCAAAAUGCAGAGGAAGAGUCAGUGAACCAGUUACCUGGUUUUGCUGCUAUCUUGAAACACAAGAGCUUUUCCUCUUAUUUCUUUACAUUUUUGUGGGUUUUUUUGUCUUCCUUUCCAAUGGUUGUCAUGAGAAUCACUUCAAAACACUGAGAAACUGAGAAAGAGAAAAAUUCAGCGCUGAAGAAGGAAAGCAGAACAGCAGGUAAAAGUAUCAUGGAACUGAAGCUCAUUCAGCAGAACUACACUUUUUGAGAACAGUUUGGCAAGAGAGAAAACAUGCAUUUGGACUUUUCAAAGUCAUAUACUUUACCAUCAGAGCACUGGGGACCUCCCAGUGCCUAAUCCUUACAACAUAUUACUUCUGAAGACAAUUCUACCUCUACUCCCUGCUGUUGUUAGCAACUUUUGUGAGUACCCAUUUUGUGUGGGAAGACUUAUCAACUAAAAUAUUAAAUCAGGCCCAUCUCACAGCAGCCUCUGUAAAAGAAAGAAACGCUUUCCCUCUCCAUUAAUAUCUGCUUGAAACAGCACCUCAUGUUUUCCUGAUGAACUAUUUCCUGAUGAUUGCUUUCCAUUUUCCCCAUCUUCUCCAUCCCAGUUCAGUUCUCAUGUAGAACACAACCAAAGGCAUGUUUUAGACAAGACCAAAUGAUUUGGCUCUGCUUCAUCCCCCUUACCCAGGAAUAGCUUAGCACAAAAGUUGCCAGAUAAGCCUUACAGAAUCCAUAAUUGGUAAGUAUUGUUGCAUUUCUUCCACAUCUCUACUUAUGUUUUUCUUCAAAUUUGUUCAGCAAUCAUAAACACUGACAAAUGGAUCAGUACAUGCCUGACUUAUGCUUUUCUUUCAUUAAAUAUAGCUUGGAAGUUUAUUAUUCUCUAGUCAAAAGCUAGCACAGUCAAUGUGAUGGGUGUAUUUAUACUGGUUCCUACCAGACUUCUAGCUCUGUGUGCCAGUUCUUUCAGUGUUCUGGGAUCAUCUGAUGCCUCUGGCUGAACUGUGGUAAACUAUUUAAGACUGUCAUCUUGUAGUCAAUAUUGUUCACAUCCACAGGUCACUUCUUAUUGUUUUCUACCAUAGCAUCCCAUUGAAACAUGAAGAGACACUUCAUUUUAAGGGUAGAGUUUAUGUUCACAUACACUAUCUCAUGAAGUUGUGUGAGAUGGCUGCCAGAAGACUGCACUUUCAGGAGAAAAAUAGUUGUACUUGGAUGGAUAUGUAAACCCUAAUACAAAUAUUAUGAAAAUAGUGUUCAAACAGGUAAGAUACUGGAUCUUCCUUACCCUUUUUUAGUUAAGGAAAACAAUUAUUUCUAAGAGAACAGAUUAAAAACUUAUUAACAUCUAGAUGAUUUUGUUUUGUGUUGUAUUUCUGCUUUUUAAGGCACUGCACCAAUCCCCACUUUAAUGUGCAGUGUUGGGACUUUCUGCCUCUUCUUUAUAAAUGUGUAUUUCUGGAUGUCUAUAAAUUGGCCACUCAAGAUUGUUCCAGACAGAUACUUGGCUUCCAGACUCUAAGUGCAGAGAAGAAUGGUUUUCUUUUCCUCUUGUACUGAGAAAAUGUGAUAGUGUGUAAGCCACACCACUGGAAUGCAGUGCCCAAGGCUAUGCUGACUUGGAUGAAGGACAGGAGGGAUUGAAUGGCUGGAGAUGCUCACCUGCAGCAACCCCUCCAGCACUGGGGCUGCAGAGACAAUGCAGGGCCACAGCAGUGGCUGCCAGCCAGGGCACCUUUCCCACAUGUGCCUGAGCUCUUUGUGCAGUGAGGGGCAGAGAAAAAGGGAGUACAUAAAGCUGGAGCUACAUCUGUGUGGGCUGAAAUAUGUAAUGACCUCUGUUUAACAUGUAAGGGCUGACUAUGAGAGGUAUUUAACAUUCUUCAGACAUUGAUGCCUAUCUUUGGCUUUAGUAGAGAUGGUGCACAAUGGAUUCCAUCAGGAAAGACUAUCAGAUGGAUCUAAACAGCAAAGAUUUUUUCAGAUAGUCAGCACAAGGCAAGAAGCAGUUUUUACCCCACUGUACCACAGCUGAAACAUCUUGCAGAGCUUUAGUGACCAGCAGCACAGUGGUAGCCUCUAGUUUCUCACUUGGGCUUCUCCUGCUGCUAAAAAUGUAAGUUAUUUAUGAGGAGAAGGUCAUGUACCCACAUUUCAAGCUGUAAAUCAAGCCAGAAAACUCUCACAAUUUUGUGUAACUGUGCCAGAAGCUAAAGAAGUCUAAUAUGUAGGAGAAAUCACAUUUCAUUGUGCCUGAGAGAGAAGGACCAGAAGCUGGCGGCUGUAUCUGAAAAUAUUUGCAUUUACUGUCUUUAAGAUAAAACUAAAUAUGAUAAAACUAUAUUAUUUAAGAUAAUAACUAAAUAUGUUAUUAUCAUUUGGUUGUUUUUUUGGGUUUUUUUUUUUUUUUUUGGUUGGUUAAUCAGAGAUUUUUUGUUGUUGUUUUUUUCAGGGUUUUUUGUGUAUUGUUACAGCCCUAGCAGACUGGAGACAUGAGAAAGACAAAACCUGUAGGAAAAUAUUCUGUAUUUUGAGAUGCAAAAUGAUGCCUGUUAAGUGCUGAAAUCAGUCAACACUACUCUGUAGCCAUCACAGUAAGUGUCCCUUGCCAACAGAACUGAAGAGAAGAUAGACAGUUCACUGGUCCUCUUCUAAAUGUACUCUGCUUCAUCCAGGCAUCAAGGAGAGAACAGUGCUAUCAGGACACAGCUAACCAAGCUGCACUCAACAAGGUGAACACAUCCUCACUAAAAUACGUAAAAAUUAGGUUAGCAUUGGGAGAAUAUUUUUCAUAAAGUUGAGCUUUGAACCCCAUUCCCCUUUAAAAACUGAACUUAAAAAUUCAGCAUUACACUUGCUUUUUUAGACAGUAGAAAAACUUCAUUUUAAGCUUUCUCUUCCAUUAAUGUCUUUCUUUUCAUUUCACUAGAACUAAUGAUCUCUGUUCUCUCCUAAAUCCUUCACCACUCUACUCCUUUUUUUCAAUUUGUCUCAUUCAUUAAAAAGAUUAAAUUAAACUCAGAGCCAUUGUUCUGUUCUCAGCUUUUCUGAGUCUGUUCUUGACCUUUCUUAACUUCACAUUUGCUUCUUCUACCUCAGACACAAAGAAGGGUUAUUUAUCCCAUAUGCUACCUUUGUUUCACCUGUGCAGACACACAGCCAGGAUCUUUACAUCUUUUUUGGAAGAAUUUAAUUAUUUUAAUAGUACCUAUAAACUGAACCUCUUAAAAUACAAGGAAAAAAAAAAAAUUCACAGAACAGCCCAAGCUGGAAAGCUGGAAAAUACCUUGAAAGUUCCUCUGGUCGCAUCUUUCAUGAAAAAGGGAGCUUAGCUCUUAGUUCCUAUAAUACCUUAAUAUUAUAAAAUAGUGAAAAUAAUGGAAAUAAUCCAGUAAAUAGAACUGCUUACAGUAAAUAGAACCUUCUGCCACAAGGCAUUUCCCAUCUGAUUUGAAGGUGAAAGAUUUGCCUAGGACUCAGGCAGGCUGAAUUAAGUUAUCAGCUUAGGUCACUCACUUUGCCUACAUUGAGUAGGCAAAGUGAUAUUUGAUGUUCAAGUCCGUCCUUUAGAGGUCUUCUGUUAAUGAUGCUCAAAGAUCUGGUUGCAUAGUGCACUAAGUGAACCAUCAGUCACCAUGAAGGAACAUUUGUCUUGUGUUUCUAAACUACUUGUUUCACACAGCACAAGAACCUCUAAGCAAGUUGUUGUACUGGGGCUUGGUGUCCUGUACUUGGUACUGCCUGUGCUUCCAUGUGUGCUCAGUCAGAAAUCCCUAAUGCCACCUUUUCUAUUGCUGAUCAUCAGUAUUCUUGAAAAGGACAGAAAAUAAAAGUGCAUAUGUUUAAAA
This is a non-coding RNA of Taeniopygia guttata (zebra finch), 4704 nucleotides long. NCBI's taxonomy places the organism in Eukaryota, Metazoa, Chordata, Aves, Passeriformes, Estrildidae. The record is from RefSeq and is a predicted model, not a curated record.